GGGUAAACGGGAGAAAUCCUGAAUUCGAAAGGGGCCGGAUUCAAGUCCAUCCUGAUUGCUCAGGCCGCUCGGCCCCGCCAGAUGGUGCCGGUCGCCCGCGGCGAUUCAUUUCGCUUGCGGUGUCGUUCCCGGCGCUCACUCGGUGGGGUGGCGUUGCUCUGGCGUCGGAGGAGUGCACUUCCACCCUAGUAGAAACGUCGCGACCCGUUGGGUGCCGGUCUAAGGCCCGGGAUGGCAGACCACGUGUCCUGCGGGGGCUCUCGCAGGCGCGCGGACUCCUGGUGUCCCGGCCGGCAGCCCGACGGUAAGACCAGAGGGGUCGAUCCGCUACUUGUGAAACACUUUGGCUGUGUAGCGUCCGGCCCGGCGCCGACGCGUGCGGGGAUGAGGCGCAAGCCCCGGGU
This 404-nucleotide ribosomal RNA is filed under the name Autolyca sp. TRB-2015. Its description in RNAcentral is "eukaryotic LSU rRNA". Lineage: Eukaryota; Metazoa; Arthropoda; Insecta; Phasmatodea; Pseudophasmatidae. The record is from RNAcentral.